GUACGGCGGCUCAAUGAGUUUGUGUCACUGUGGUACCCGUUCGGUGGAGGAACCAGAUUGGAUGUUGGAAGUGAUGUCCGUCCCACCCUGACGGUGCUGCCCCCCUCCAGUGAGGAGCUGCUGCAGGGGAAGGCCACGCUCAUGUGCCUGGCCAACAAGGGCUUCCCCUCAGACUGGAGUCUGGCCUGGAAGGUGGACGGCAGCAGCAGCAGCAGCAGCAGCAGCUGGGAGGAGAGCAGGAGCCCCGGGGUGCUGGAGAAGGACGGCCGCUACAGCUGGAGCAGCACCCUGAGGCUCCCUGCAGACCAGUGGAGGAAGGUGGGCUCUGUGACCUGUGAGGCCACCCAGGGCUCCCAGGCUCUGGUCUCAGAGACACUGAGGAGAGACCAGUGUUCCCAGUCCUGACCUGACUCACUGGGACUCUGCUACUGGUUUUAUUCUGCUACUGCUCUCUCAACUCUGUAACUUUCUCUGUGUCUGUGUCUUUCUUUCCUUCUGUCACUCUCUAAUCACAUGUUUCAUGGUUAAAGUUUGUUUACUUGAUUUAAUUUGUAUUAUUUCUACACAAUAAAGACCAGUUCAUUCAAAUUUGUUGUUUUCAUUUCUGUUAUAGUGAAAGUAAGAGUUGGUAGAGGUCGUGCCCCAUGAACAAUGCUGACUCCUUACUGCAGCAGCCUGGGAUUGAAUCUCACCUGAUCAUCAUAGUUUCAGUAUCUGCAGUGUGAUUCUUCACAGAGUCAGUGAGCUGUAGCUGUCCUCAACAUAUCAUGGUGUUUCCCCCUCAGUGCUGAGAGCGUUGAUAUACAUAUUUACUUAUUUACAUGAAGAGGAUACUAAAAAGUCUGGUAAUAAACUGUUUCAGUGAUUUUGUUUUGUCAUUCCAAUGUGGAAAAUGAGUUUAAUAUGGUCUGCUGACAAUGAAUAGUGACGUUAUUUUAAUGCACAUUGACGACAGAUUUGGUUGUAUAUAAUAUCCAGAUUUUCUCAAAUAAAGAAAUGACAAGUCAAGAGCAGAGGCUGAAGCUGGUAUAUCAGGUAGCUCGCUGAAGAAACUACUAGGAAUUUUGGACAUGAGGGCAGAGCCAGAAAACAGCUUUUAUGGAAUAUUUAAACUUUGAAGUCAACAUGAACAUGAAGUCCUAACAAUGCUCAGAUGGAUAGAAAUUUGAAAAUCUAAAUUUAAUGACCACUGGGCGACUCCAUCUGCUGAGGAAGAUCAAGUGAUGUGAAUGAAAGCUCCACAAAAGU
This is a non-coding RNA of Micropterus salmoides (largemouth bass), 1248 nucleotides long. The record is from the annotation of a RefSeq genome assembly. NCBI's taxonomy places the organism in Eukaryota, Metazoa, Chordata, Actinopteri, Centrarchiformes, Centrarchidae.